CCUACGGGCGGCAGCAGUCGAGAAUCAUUCACAAUGGGGGAAACCCUGAUGGUGCGACGCCGCGUGGGGGAAUGAAGGUCUUCGGAUUGUAAACCCCUGUCAUGUGGGAGCAAAUUAAAAAGAUAGUACCACAAGAGGAAGAGACGGCUAACUCUGUGCCAGCAGCCGCGGUAAUACAGAGGUCUCAAGCGUUGUUCGGAAUCACUGGGCGUAAAGCGUGCGUAGGCUGUUUCGUAAGUCGUGUGUGAAAGGCGCGGGCUCAACCCGCGGAAGGCACAUGAUACUGCGAGACUAGAGUACUGGUGGGGGAACCGGAAUUCUCGGUGUAGCAGUGAAAUGCGUAGAUAUCGAGAGGAACACUCGUGGCGAAGGCGGGUUCCUGGACAUUAACUGACGCUGAGGCACGAAGGCCAGGGGAGCGAAAGGGAUUAGAUACCCGAGUAGUC
Molecule: ribosomal RNA, 446 nt
Filed under: uncultured bacterium
Lineage: Bacteria
Description: partial 16S ribosomal RNA
Rfam family: Bacterial small subunit ribosomal RNA
Source: RNAcentral